This 248-nucleotide long non-coding RNA is filed under the name Brassica napus (rape). RNAcentral describes it as "long non-coding RNA (BNAP_LNC011402)". Lineage: Eukaryota; Viridiplantae; Streptophyta; Magnoliopsida; Brassicales; Brassicaceae. The record is from RNAcentral.
AUACUAUUUCGAAAUUCAAACCCUAAACCCUAAAACUCAACUCUAAACUCUAAACCAUCAAUCCUAAACCCUAUUUUUUUAAAUACGAACCCUAAACCCUAAACCAUCAAUCCUAAACCCUAUUUUUUUUGAAAUAAACCCUAAACUCCGAAACAUCAACUCUAAACCCUAAACCCUAAACCUUCAACUCUAAACCCUAAAACAUCAACUCUAAACCCUAAACCCUAAACUUUAACUAUUAACCCUAA